ACGCACGCUGGCGGCCUGCCUAACACAUGCCAGUCGAACGAGACCUUCGGGUCUAGUGGCGCACGGGUGCGUAACGCGUGGGAACCUGCCCUUAGGUUCGGAAUAACUCCCCGAAAGGGGUGCUAAUACCGGAUAAUGUCUUCGGACCAAAGAUUUAUCGCCUUUGGAUGGGCCCGCGUUGGAUUAGCUAGUUGGUAGGGUAAAAGCCUACCAAGGCGACGAUCCAUAGCUGGUCUGAGAGGAUGAUCAGCCACACUGGGACUGAGACACGGCCCAGACUCCUACGGGAGGCAGCAGUGGGGAAUAUUGGACAAUGGGCGAAAGCCUGAUCCAGCAAUGCCGCGUGAGUGAUGAAGGCCUUAGGGUUGUAAAGCUCUUUUACCCGGGAUGAUAAUGACAGUACCGGGAGAAUAAGCUCCGGCUAACUCCGUG
Molecule: ribosomal RNA, 432 nt
Filed under: uncultured bacterium
Lineage: Bacteria
Description: partial 16S ribosomal RNA
Rfam family: Bacterial small subunit ribosomal RNA
Source: RNAcentral